Molecule: ribosomal RNA, 1236 nt
Filed under: Candidatus Phytoplasma citri
Lineage: Bacteria; Bacillati; Mycoplasmatota; Mollicutes; Acholeplasmatales; Acholeplasmataceae
Description: bacterial SSU rRNA
Rfam family: Bacterial small subunit ribosomal RNA
Source: RNAcentral
UUAGAAAAUAUUAUUAUUUUUUUUUAUACUAAGAACCCCAAAAGACGAGAAAUAGGCUUUUUUUCUUUAAAAGCCUUGGUGAUAGGUAUAUUUUAGAGGGGCUUGCGCCAUAUUAGUUAGUUGGUAGGGUAAUGGCCUACCAAGACGAUGAUGUGUAGCUGGACUGAGAGGUUGAACAGCCACAUUGGGACUGAGACACGGCCCAAACUCCUACGGGAGGCAGCAGUAGGGAAUUUUCGGCAAUGGAGGAAACUCUGACCGAGCAACGCCGCGUGAACGACGAAGUACUUUGGUAUGUAAAGUUCUUUUAUCAAGGAAGAAAAGCAAGUGGUGAACCAUUUGUUUGCCGGUACUUGAUGAAUAAGCCCCGGCUAAUUAUGUGCCAGCAGCCGCGGUAAGACAUAAGGGGCAAGUGUUAUCCGGAAUUAUUGGGCGUAAAGGGUGCGUAGGCGGUCUAGUAAGUCAGUGGUGUAAUGGCAACGCUCAACGUUGUCCGGCUAUUGAAACUGCUAAACUUGAGUUAGAUAGAGGCGAGUGGAAUUCCAUGUGUAGCGGUAAAAUGCGUAAAUAUAUGGAGGAACACCAGAGGCGUAGGCGGCUCGCUGGGUCUUAACUGACGCUGAGGCACGAAAGCGUGGGGAGCAAACAGGAUUAGAUACCCUGGUAGUCCACGCCGUAAACGAUGAGUACUAAGUGUCGGGUUAAACCGGUACUGAAGUUAACACAUUAAGUACUCCGCCUGAGUAGUACGUACGCAAGUAUGAAACUUAAAGGAAUUGACGGGACUCCGCACAAGCGGUGGAUCAUGUUGUUUAAUUCGAAGAUACCCGAAAAACCUUACCAGGUCUUGACAUGUUUUUGCGAAACGGUAGUAAUAUCGUGGAGGUUAUCAGAAACACAGGUGGUGCAUGGUUGUCGUCAGCUCGUGUCGUGAGAUGUUAGGUUAAGUCCUAAAACGAGCGAAACCCUUAUCGUUAGUUGCCAGCACGUUAUGGUGGGGACUUUAACGAGACUGCCAGUGAUAAAUUGGAGGAAGGUGAGGAUCACGUCAAAUCAGCAUGCCCCUUAUGACCUGGGCUACAAACGUGAUACAAUGGCUGUUACAAAGGGUAGCUGAAACGCAAGUUCUUGGCCAAUCCCCAAAAACAGUCUCAGUCCGGAUUGAAGUCUGCAACUCGACUUCAUGAAGUGGAAUCGCUAGUAAUCGCGAAUCAGCAGUCGCGUAAAUAUUGACUU